UCCUUUUUCCAUUCCAAUAGCGGAGGAAAAGAAACUAACAAGGAUCCCCUUAGUAACGGCGAGUGAAGCGGGGUGAGCUCAAAUUUAAAAUCUGGCUGGUUUACUAGCCCGAGUUGUAGUUUACAGAAGCGUUUUCGAUGGCAGCCUGGGUAUAAAUCUCUUGGAAUAGGGUAUCAUAGAGGGUGAGAAUCCCGUCUUUGACUCAGUGCAUGCUAUUAUGUGAUACGUUUUCAAAGAGUCGAGUUGUUUGGGAAUGCAGCUCAAAAUGGGUGGUAAAUUUCAUCUAAGGCUAAAUAUUGGCGAGAGACCGAUAGCGAACAAGUACCGUGAGGGAAAGAUGAAAAGAACUUUGAAAAGAGAGUUAAACAGUGCGUGAAAUUGUUGAAAGGGAAACGUUUGACACCAGUCAUGCGGCUGGGAAAUCAGUUAAUUGAAGUGGGGAGUGAUAGGGGUUUGGACCGCAAGGCCAGCCUGUGUCUCAUCUCUGCUUUGGUUGAUGCACUUUCUCAUCGGCAGGUCAACAUCAGUUUCUCCCGCUGGACAAAACUCCAAGAGAAGGUAGCAGCUUAGGCUGUGUUAUAGCUCUGGAGCGAUACAGUGGUGGGGACUGAGGUUUCGCAGUGUGUGCUCUCGGGCAAGGUUGACUGGGUGCUAUGAGGUUGUUCAGCGUACAAUGCAUGCAUUUGCGCUGUGUCUUCUUCAUACUCGCUCAGCUCAACUCUCCACACUUAGUACGUGACUA
RNAcentral lists this ribosomal RNA (742 nucleotides) under Mortierella sp. Its description in RNAcentral is "eukaryotic LSU rRNA". It matches the Rfam family "Eukaryotic large subunit ribosomal RNA", at positions 31 to 621 of the family's 3401-position model. The record is from RNAcentral. Lineage: Eukaryota; Fungi; Mortierellomycota; Mortierellomycetes; Mortierellales; Mortierellaceae.